GAGGAGUUUAAGGGAUAUGUGGAAGGUUUUGCACUUUCUAUUUGGACUUUGUUAGGCAGUGUAUCCCAGUCUUCCAGCCGUGAUAGGUUAGCUGUUACAGCAAUUAAGUUUUUGACUACCGUGAGUACUAGUGUCCAACACAUUCUGUUCGCAAAUGAUGGGGUCAUCCCACAGAUUUGUCAAAGUAUUGUGAUUCCUAA
This 200-nucleotide unclassified non-coding RNA is filed under the name Hevea brasiliensis (rubber tree). The record is from RNAcentral. Lineage: Eukaryota; Viridiplantae; Streptophyta; Magnoliopsida; Malpighiales; Euphorbiaceae.